GGCCCCGUCGCCAAGUGGUAAGGCAGAGGUCUGCAACACCUUUAUCAGCAGUUCGAAUCUGCUCGGGGCCUCCA
Molecule: transfer RNA, 74 nt
Filed under: Desulfuromonas sp.
Lineage: Bacteria; Pseudomonadati; Thermodesulfobacteriota; Desulfuromonadia; Desulfuromonadales; Desulfuromonadaceae
Also listed under: 14 other names
Description: tRNA-Cys
Rfam family: tRNA
About the family: Transfer RNA (tRNA) molecules are approximately 80 nucleotides in length.
Source: RNAcentral